GAUGAACGCUGGCGGCGUGCUUAACACAUGCAAGUCGAACGGAAAGGCUCCAGCUUGCUGGGGUGCUCGAGUGGCGAACGGGUGAGUAACACGUAAGUGAUCUGCCCUGCACUGGGGGAUAAGCUUGGGAAACUGGGUCUAAUACCCUAUAGGACCGCAUCGUGGUUGGUGUGGUGGAAAGGUUUUUCUGGUGUGGGAUGAGCUUGCGGCCUAUCAGCUUGUUGGUGGGGUAAUGGCCUACCAAGGCGGCGACGGGUAGCCGGCCUGAGAGGGUGUGCGGCCACAUUGGGACUGAGAUACGGCCCAGACUCCUACGGGAGGCAGCAGUGGGGAAUUUUGCACAAUGGGCGGAAGCCUGAUGCAGCGACGCCGUGUGGGGGAUGAAGGCCUUCGGGUUGUAAACUCCUUUCGUCAGGGACGAAGUUUUUUUGACGGUACCUGGAUAAGAAGCACCGGCUAACUACGUGCCAGCAGCCGCGGUAAUACGUAGGGUGCGAGCGUUGUCCGGAUUUACUGGGCGUAAAGGGCUCGUAGGUGGUGUGUCGCGUCGUCUGUGUAAUCCAGGGGCUUAACUUUUGGUUGGCAGGCGAUACGGGCAU
Molecule: ribosomal RNA, 599 nt
Filed under: uncultured Corynebacterium sp. MT25Y
Lineage: Bacteria; Bacillati; Actinomycetota; Actinomycetes; Mycobacteriales; Corynebacteriaceae
Description: bacterial SSU rRNA
Rfam family: Bacterial small subunit ribosomal RNA
Source: RNAcentral